This 482-nucleotide ribosomal RNA is filed under the name uncultured Flavobacteriaceae bacterium. RNAcentral's name for it is "bacterial SSU rRNA". It matches the Rfam family "Bacterial small subunit ribosomal RNA", at positions 28 to 505 of the family's 1533-position model. The record is from RNAcentral. Lineage: Bacteria; Pseudomonadati; Bacteroidota; Flavobacteriia; Flavobacteriales; Flavobacteriaceae.
GAUGAACGCUAGCGGCAGGCCUAACACAUGCAAGUCGAACGGUAACAUAGGUGCUUGCACCUGAUGACGAGUGGCGCACGGGUGCGUAACGCGUAUAGAACCUACCCUUUACUAGGGGAUAGCCCAUGGAAACGUGGAUUAAUACCCUAUAGUAUAUUUAAUCAGCAUUGAUUGAGUAUUAAAGAUUUAUCGGUAAAGGAUGGCUCUGCGUCCCAUUAGCUAGAUGGUAAGGUAACGGCUUACCAUGGCUACGAUGGGUAGGGGUCCUGAGAGGGAGAUCCCCCACACUGGUACUGAGACACGGACCAGACUCCUACGGGAGGCAGCAGUGAGGAAUAUUGGACAAUGGUCGGAGGACUGAUCCAGCCAUGCCGCGUGCAGGAAGACUGCCCUAUGGGUUGUAAACUGCUUUUGUAUAGGAAGAAAAAGGGGUACGAGUACUCCACUGACGGUACUAUACGAAUAAGGACCGGCUAACUCCG